Molecule: ribosomal RNA, 492 nt
Filed under: uncultured bacterium
Lineage: Bacteria
Description: partial 16S ribosomal RNA
Rfam family: Bacterial small subunit ribosomal RNA
Source: RNAcentral
AGUGAACGCUGGCGGUAGGCCUAACACAUGCAAGUCGAACGGCAGCACAGUAAGAGCUUGCUCUUACGGGUGGCGAGUGGCGGACGGGUGAGGAAUACAUCGGAAUCUACUUUUUCGUGGGGGGUAACGUAGGGAAACUUACGCUAAUACCGCAUACGACCUACGGGUGAAAGCAGGGGAUCUUCGGACCUUGCGCGAUUGAAUGAGCCGAUGUCGGAUUAGCUAGUUGGCGGGGUAAAGGCCCACCAAGGCGACGAUCCGUAGCUGGUCUGAGAGGAUGAUCAGCCACACUGGAACUGAGACACGGUCCAGACUCCUACGGGAGGCAGCAGUGGGGAAUAUUGGACAAUGGGCGCAAGCCUGAUCCAGCCAUACCGCGUGGGUGAAGAAGGCCUUCGGGUUGUAAAGCCCUUUUGUUGGGAAAGAAAAGCAGCAGGUUAAUACCCCGCUGUUCUGGCGGUACCCAAAGAAUAAGCACCGGCUAACUUCGUG